UACGGAGGGUGCAAGCGUUGUCCGGAAUCACGUGGGCGUAAAGGGCGCGUAGGUGGCGGCCCAGUCCAUGGUGAAAGCUCGAUGCUCAACAUCGAGUCGGCCACGGAUACUGGGUUGCUCGAGCACUGUAGGGGCAGAUGGAAUUCCGGGUGUAGCGGUGGAAUGCGUAGAGAUCCGGAAGAACACCGGUGGCGAAGGCGGUCUGCUGGGCG
Molecule: ribosomal RNA, 212 nt
Filed under: uncultured bacterium
Lineage: Bacteria
Description: partial 16S ribosomal RNA
Rfam family: Bacterial small subunit ribosomal RNA
Source: RNAcentral